CCUACGGGUGGCUGCAGUCGAGAAUCUUCCGCAAUGGGCGAAAGCCUGACGGAGCGAUGCCGCGUGCGGGAUGAAGGCCUUCGGGUUGUAAACCGCUGUCGGAGGGGAGCAAAUUUGAGCGAUCCUCGGAGGAAGCACAGGCUAAAUUCGUGCCAGCAGCCGCGGUAAUACGAAUUGUGCAAACGUUAUUCGGAAUCACUGGGCUUAAAGGGUGCGUAGGCUGCUAUGAAGGUCUGGUGUGAAAUCCAACGGCUCAACCGUUGAAUUGCAUUGGA
This 275-nucleotide ribosomal RNA is filed under the name uncultured Planctomyces sp. RNAcentral's name for it is "partial 16S ribosomal RNA". It matches the Rfam family "Bacterial small subunit ribosomal RNA", at positions 338 to 630 of the family's 1533-position model. Lineage: Bacteria; Pseudomonadati; Planctomycetota; Planctomycetia; Planctomycetales; Planctomycetaceae. The record is from RNAcentral.